Molecule: ribosomal RNA, 256 nt
Filed under: uncultured archaeon
Lineage: Archaea
Description: partial 16S ribosomal RNA
Rfam family: Bacterial small subunit ribosomal RNA
Source: RNAcentral
UAAUACGUAGGGGGCAAGCGUUGUCCGGAAUUAUUGGGCGUAAAGCGCGUGUAGGCGGCUUGGUAAGUCUGGUGUGAAACCUUGGGGCUUAACCCCAAGCCUGCACUGGAUACUGCCUCGCUAGAGUCCGGGAGGGGAGAGCGGAAUUCCCAGUGUAGCGGUGGAAUGCGCAGAUAUUGGGAAGAACACCAGUGGCGAAGGCGGCUCUCUGGAACGGUACUGACGCUGAGACGCGAAAGCGUGGGGAGCGAACAGG